RNAcentral lists this long non-coding RNA (854 nucleotides) under Macaca nemestrina (pig-tailed macaque). RNAcentral's name for it is "lncRNA (ENSMNEG00000045629.1)". Lineage: Eukaryota; Metazoa; Chordata; Mammalia; Primates; Cercopithecidae. The record is from RNAcentral.
UAAUUGUCAUGAAAAUAGUCAAUAAGUGAGGGUGUGAAAAUUCAAGGAGCGGCUGGGCAAGGUGGCUCACGCCUGUAAUCCCAGCACUUUGGGAAGCUGAGGCAGGCAGAUCACCUGAGCUGAGGAGUUCAAGACCAGCCUGGCCAACAUGGUGAAACCCCAUCUCUACUAAAAAUACAAAAACUAGCCGGGCGUGGUGGUGGAUGCCUGUAAUCCCAGCUACUCAGGAGACUGAGGCAGGAGAAUUGCUUGAACCCAGGAGACGGAGGUUGCAGUGAGCCGACACAGUGCCACUGCACUCCAGCCUCGGUGACAGAGUGAGACUCCGUCUCAAAAAAAAAAAAAAAAAAAAAAAAAGAAAAUUAAAGGAGCAAAAAAUGCUCUAUGUAUUUCAUAUGUAAUAUUGCUUAGAGAUUUCCUGAAAAUACAUUAUUAAGUGUAUGUUUAUGGUGGUGAUCAUUGCAGACAAAAUGAAGAAUUCAGAGCCCAAUCCUAACCUCAAGCCAAGAAGUAAGAAAAGGAAGAAAAAAUCAAGAAACUCAGAACAGAACCCCAGCAACAUUGAACCAAGGAGCAUGGACUCUCAGGCUGUUCAUAGAUUUCAGGAUCUUUUCCACUACUUCCACAGGCAGAUAGAGGGCCAUCCCCACCACCGUCUCUACCACCACCGUCUCUUCCCAGAGGAGUUUUUACUCUUCCUCCAACUCCUUUACCUGAGCUAAGUGGUAAACCAUCAUCAUCACCAUCACCUUUGGAGACCUCCUCUACCACCACCUUUGUUGAGAGACCUACUCUCCAGGAUCCCCACCUGCUCUGUCUUAUGGAGUGAAACAGAAAUAAAUGUGUAAGACUCA